Molecule: long non-coding RNA, 700 nt
Filed under: Homo sapiens (human)
Lineage: Eukaryota; Metazoa; Chordata; Mammalia; Primates; Hominidae
Description: HSALNT0155829
Source: RNAcentral
CAGGGGGGCGGUGGUCCUGACCUAUCACGCCGGGGAGGCGCCGUGCACCCAAUCGGAGGCCAAUAUAGGUAGCGGCGCAGCCAUUCAGCGUGCAGGCCGUGGGGGCUGGCCCGAGCGGCGAAUCAGAGAGCGGGGCCCCUGGGAGCCAACGAGCCGCCCCAGCUGGCGCCCAAUCUGGGGCGAGCGCAGGUAGGCAUCUGGCCAAUCAGAGAAGGGGAGGGUUCCAGCACCGAACAGGGAGCAUAACAGCCAAUCAGAAGGUGAGGCUGCCUCAGCUUGUGGGCAGGGCGGGCCAAUCAGGCGCUGGCUUUGGGGGCGUGUUGAACUUUGGUGGGAGCUUUGGUUCGGCUGGGACCUGCGCCCUGAAUGAAGGCUUCCCUGGUACCCCCUGCCGAUCCGCGGUCUUGGGGACCUGCGCGUCCGAUAGCGCGUGCUCGAAGAGGAGAGGCAACCUCAGCUCCAGGGGGUUUGAACCGACCCACUUUCAGUUACGAGUAAACUGAGACCAGAGAGCAGAGGGGGCUUAUUUCCCUCUGCCCCAUACUGGCCGGCGAAAGGGCAAGUCACACAGAGCAGGCGACCUUUUUGUCAAAAGUGUGUGGGGCGGGGCGCGCAGUAGGCGCCCUAAACGCUGGACUGAACAGAGAAGCUUAAUUGAUACUUAAGAGUGGAAGCUUAGCUACAGUUAAGGACUCCUUCC